AACCUCUUCCUGAUGUCUAGCCUAAACUUCCCCUGCCUCAGCUUCACACCGUUCCCGUGGGUCCUGUCACUGGUGAUAACGGAGAAUAGGUCACCUGCCUCUCACUCCCCCUCGCGAGGAAGUUGUAGACUGCAAUGAGGUCCCCCCCUCAGCCUCCUCUUCUCCAGGCUGACAGGCCCAGUGAUCUCAGUCACUCCUCAUAUGUCUUCCCCUCUAGGCCCUUCCCCAUCUUCGUCUCCCUCCUCUGGGACACUCUCCAAGAGUUUAAUGUCCUUUUUUUAUGCACUUUCUGUAC
Molecule: long non-coding RNA, 295 nt
Organism: Cygnus olor (mute swan)
Lineage: Eukaryota; Metazoa; Chordata; Aves; Anseriformes; Anatidae
Exons: 3
Source: RefSeq, a predicted model, not a curated record